RNAcentral lists this ribosomal RNA (469 nucleotides) under uncultured Pelotomaculum sp. RNAcentral describes it as "bacterial SSU rRNA". It matches the Rfam family "Bacterial small subunit ribosomal RNA", at positions 916 to 1381 of the family's 1533-position model. The record is from RNAcentral. Lineage: Bacteria; Bacillati; Bacillota; Clostridia; Eubacteriales; Desulfotomaculaceae.
GACGGGGCCCGCACAAGCGGUGAGCAUGUGGUUUAAUUCGACGCACGCGAAGAACCUUACCAGGGCUUGACAUCCCCUGACCGCGUAUGAAAGUACGUUUUCACCCUCGGGUGACAGGGAGACAGGUGGUGCAUGGUUGUCGUCAGCUCGUGUCGUGAGAUGUUGGGUUAAGUCCCGCAACGAGCGCAACCCCUACGUUUAGUUGCUAACGCGUGAAGGCGAGCACUCUAGACGAACUGCCGUUGACAAAACGGAGGAAGGUGGGAUGACGUCAAAUCAUCAUGCCCCUUAUGUUCUGGGCUACACACGUGCUACAAUGGCCGGUACAGACGGACGCAAAGCCGCGAGGUGGAGCAAAUCCUAAAAAGCCGGUCUCAGUUCGGAUUGCAGGCUGCAAUUCGCCUGCAUGAAGUCGGAAUCGCUAGUAAUCGCAGGUCAGCAUACUGCGGUGAAUACGUUCCCGGGCCUU